GCAAACUUGGUCAUUUAGAGGAAGUAAAAGUCGUAACAAGGUCUCCGUUGGUGAACCAGCGGAGGGAUCAUUAAAGAGUGUAUAACUCCUAAACCCAUGUGAACUUACCUCUGUUGCCUCGGCAGGCCACACGUCUACCCUGUAGGCACUUACCUUGUAAGGCCUUACCCUGGUAGGACUUACCCGGUAAACGUUUACCCUGCCGGUGGCCCACGAAACUCUGGUUAUUAUAUUUUGGUAUUCUGAAAAUUGUGGGAAUAAGUUAAAACUUUCAACAACGGAUCUCUUGGUUCUGGCAUCGAUGAAGAACGCAGC
RNAcentral lists this unclassified non-coding RNA (315 nucleotides) under uncultured fungus. RNAcentral's name for it is "partial contains small subunit ribosomal RNA, internal transcribed spacer 1, and 5.8S ribosomal RNA". The stretch from base 1 to 73 matches the Rfam family "Eukaryotic small subunit ribosomal RNA", at positions 1759 to 1831 of the family's 1831-position model. Lineage: Eukaryota; Fungi. The record is from RNAcentral.